UGGGGUUAUAGUCAACGAUGAUAUGUAACUUGCACUUACAAGGUGUUAUAUUUAACUAACCUCAU
RNAcentral lists this transfer RNA (65 nucleotides) under Panulirus polyphagus. Its description in RNAcentral is "tRNA-Ala". The record is from RNAcentral. Lineage: Eukaryota; Metazoa; Arthropoda; Malacostraca; Decapoda; Palinuridae.